CGUAAAUAAUCUACCCUGAUGUCUGGGAUAACCAGCCGAAAGGCUGACUAAUACCGGCUAUAUGCUACCCUGUUGGGGGUAUCAGGAAAGGUGGCCUCUUCUUGAAAGCUAUCGCAUUGGGAUGAGUUUGCGUACCAUUAGCUAGUUGGUGGGGUAAUGGCCCACCAAGGCUUCGAUGGUUAGCGGGUCUGAGAGGAUGAUCCGUCACACUGGCACUGGAACACGGGCCAG
RNAcentral lists this ribosomal RNA (231 nucleotides) under uncultured bacterium. Its description in RNAcentral is "partial 16S ribosomal RNA". It matches the Rfam family "Bacterial small subunit ribosomal RNA", at positions 116 to 334 of the family's 1533-position model. The record is from RNAcentral.